RNAcentral lists this ribosomal RNA (629 nucleotides) under Dermacoccus sp. So1Pw_1060. RNAcentral describes it as "bacterial SSU rRNA". It matches the Rfam family "Bacterial small subunit ribosomal RNA", at positions 387 to 1033 of the family's 1533-position model. Lineage: Bacteria; Bacillati; Actinomycetota; Actinomycetes; Micrococcales; Dermacoccaceae. The record is from RNAcentral.
UGCAGCGACGCCGCGGAGGGAGACGGCCCCGGGUUGUAAACCUCUUUCACCAGGGACGAAGCAGCGUGACGGUACCUGGAGAAGAAGCACCGGCUAACUACGUGCCAGCAGCCGCGGUAAUACGUAGGGUGCGAGCGUUGUCCGGAAUUAUUGGGCGUAAAGAGCUUGUAGGCGGUUUGUCGCGUCUGCUGUGAAAGACCGGGGCUUAACUCCGGUUCUGCAGUGGGUACGGGCAGACUAGAGUGUGGUAGGGGAGACUGGAAUUCCUGGUGUAGCGGUGAAAUGCGCAGAUAUCAGGAGGAACACCGAUGGCGAAGGCAGGUCUCUGGGCCAUUACUGACGCUGAGAAGCGAAAGCAUGGGGAGCGAACAGGAUUAGAUACCCUGGUAGUCCAUGCCGUAAACGUUGGGCGCUAGGUGUGGGACUCAUUCCACGAGUUCCGUGCCGCAGCUAACGCAUUAAGCGCCCCGCCUGGGGAGUACGGCCGCAAGGCUAAAACUCAAAGGAAUUGACGGGGGCCCGCACAAGCGGCGGAGCAUGCGGAUUAAUUCGAUGCAACGCGAAGAACCUUACCAAGGCUUGACAUACACCGGAAUCAUGCAGAGAUGUGUGCGUCUUCGGACUGGUGU